RNAcentral lists this ribosomal RNA (500 nucleotides) under uncultured bacterium. Its description in RNAcentral is "partial 16S ribosomal RNA". It matches the Rfam family "Bacterial small subunit ribosomal RNA", at positions 30 to 523 of the family's 1533-position model. The record is from RNAcentral.
AUUGAACGCUGGCGGCAGGCCUAACACAUGCAAGUCGAGCGGAUGACGGGAGCUUGCUCCUUGAUUCAGCGGCGGACGGGUGAGUAAUGCCUAGGAAUCUGCCUGGUAGUGGGGGACAACGCUUCGAAAGGAACGCUAAUACCGCAUACGUCCUACGGGAGAAAGCAGGGGACCUUCGGGCCUUGCGCUAUCAGAUGAGCCUAGGUCGGAUUAGCUAGUUGGUGGGGUAAUGGCUCACCAAGGCGACGAUCCGUAACUGGUCUGAGAGGAUGAUCAGUCACACUGGCACUGAGACACGGUCCGGACUCCUACGGGAGGCAGCAGUGGGGAAUAUUGGACAAUGGGCGAAAGCCUGAUCCAGCCAUGCCGCGUGUGUGAAGAAGGUCUUCGGAUUGUAAAGCACUUUAAGUUGGGAGGAAGGGCAGUAAGCUAAUACCUUGCUGUUUUGACGUUACCGACAGAAUAAGCACCGGCUAACUCUGUGCCAGCAGCCGCAGUAA